AACGAACGCUGGCGGCAUGCCUAACACAUGCAAGUCGAACGAGACCUUCGGGUCUAGUUGCGCACGGGUGCGUAACGCGUGGGAACCUGCCCUUAGGUUCGGAAUAACUCCCCGAAAGGGGUGCUAAUACCGGAUAAUGUCUUCGGACCAAAGAUUUAUCGCCUUUGGAUGGGCCCGCGUUGGAUUAGCUAGUUGGUAGGGUAAAAGCCUACCAAGGCGACGAUCCAUAGCUGGUCUGAGAGGAUGAUCAGCCACACUGGGACUGAGACACGGCCCAGACUACUACGGGAGGCAGCAGUGGGGAAUAUUGGAAAAUGGGCGAAAGGCUGAACCAGCAAGGCCGCGUGAGUGAUGAAGGCGUUAGGGUUGUAAAGCUCUUUUACCCGGGAUGAUAAUGACAGUACCGGGAGAAUAAGCACCGGCUAACUCCGUG
RNAcentral lists this ribosomal RNA (433 nucleotides) under uncultured bacterium. Its description in RNAcentral is "partial 16S ribosomal RNA". It matches the Rfam family "Bacterial small subunit ribosomal RNA", at positions 29 to 507 of the family's 1533-position model. The record is from RNAcentral.